Molecule: ribosomal RNA, 325 nt
Filed under: uncultured bacterium
Lineage: Bacteria
Description: bacterial SSU rRNA
Rfam family: Bacterial small subunit ribosomal RNA
Source: RNAcentral
GAUGAACGCUGGCGGCGUGCCUAACACAUGCAAGUCGAACGGGGUCAUUAAGGAAAAAUCCUUCGGGAUUCGGAAUUCUUGACCUAGUGGCGGACGGGUGAGUAACGCGUGAGCAAUCUGCCUUUGGAUGGGGGAUAACAGCCGGAAACGACUGCUAAUACCGCAUAAUGCAGCGGGGUCGCAUGAUUUUGCUGCCAAAGAUUUAUCGUCCAAAGAUGAGCUCGCGUCUGAUUAGCCAGUUGGCGGGGUAACGGCCCACCAAAGCGACGAUCAGUAGCCGGACUGAGAGGUUGAACGGCCACAUUGGGACUGAGACACGGCCCAG